This 493-nucleotide long non-coding RNA is filed under the name Chinchilla lanigera (long-tailed chinchilla). RNAcentral's name for it is "lncRNA (ENSCLAG00000026320.1)". The record is from RNAcentral. Lineage: Eukaryota; Metazoa; Chordata; Mammalia; Rodentia; Chinchillidae.
GAAAAACCCAAGGUAGUGGCUGAUUUUAACCAUCUGGUUCUAAUCUUGUUCCAUAUAUUUCUCUUUUCCUUGUGGGUUUUACUUAUUGUUUUAUUAAAGUGCUGUCACACUGCUACACAGAGAGGCAGACAGGAAAAUUAUCCAUGCUGUCUUUGGGGAGAGGUGGCACAAGUAUCUGUAUAUAAUAUAUAAUAUACAUACAUAUUAUACACACACACACACACACAAACAGAGUUGAGAGCAAAGAUGACAACUUCCUGCUAAAGAUACCAGAAAAGAAAAGCUUCCUGAAUUCUUCAUUUGUGCCCAGGCUUCAGAAUGUGCACACCCCCCCCCACAAUCCAGAAGAACUGUGGCACUGAACAAAACCCAUACAGACGGAAAGGAGCCGGAGAGGGCCAGAAGGCUGGCCUCGAGCUGCACCUGAGGCAACACAGCCACUCUCUUGGGCCAGAAGAAUGGCCCAACAUGAAAUAAUAAAAACAAAACAAGG